GAUGAACGCUGACAGAAUGCUUAACACAUGCAAGUCAACUUGAACUUCGGUUUGGGUGGCGGACGGGUGAGUAACGCGUAAAGAACUUGCCUCACAGAUAGGGACAACAUUUGGAAACGAAUGCUAAUACCUGAUAUUAUGAUUUUAGGGCAUCCUAGGAUUAUGAAAGCUAUAUGCGCUGUGAGAGAGCUUUGCGUCCCAUUAGCUAGUUGGAGAGGUAACGGCUCACCAAGGCGAUGAUGGGUAGCCGGCCUGAGAGGGUGAUCGGCCACAAGGGGACUGAGACACGGCCCUUACUCCUACGGGAGGCAGCAGUGGGGAAUAUUGGACAAUGGACCAAGAGUCUGAUCCAGCAAUUCUGUGUGCACGAUGAAGUUUUUCGGAAUGUAAAGUGCUUUCAGUUGGGAAGAAAAAAAUGACGGUACCAACAGAAGAAGUGACGGCUAAAUACGUGCCAGCAGCCGCGGUAAUACGUAUGUCACAAGCGUUAUCCGGAUUUAUUGGGCGUAAAGCGCGUCUAGGUGGUUAUGUAAGUCUGAUGUGAAAAUGCAGGGCUCAACUCUGUAUUGCGUUGGAAACUGUAUAACUAGAGUACUGGAGAGGUAAGCGGAACUACAAGUGUAGAGGUGAAAUUCGUAGAUAUUUGUAGGAAUGCCGAUGGGGAAGCCAGCUUACUGGACAGAUACUGACGCUGAAGCGCGAAAGCGUGGGUAGCAAACAGG
RNAcentral lists this ribosomal RNA (722 nucleotides) under uncultured Fusobacterium sp. RNAcentral's name for it is "bacterial SSU rRNA". It matches the Rfam family "Bacterial small subunit ribosomal RNA", at positions 28 to 776 of the family's 1533-position model. Lineage: Bacteria; Fusobacteriati; Fusobacteriota; Fusobacteriia; Fusobacteriales; Fusobacteriaceae. The record is from RNAcentral.